Long non-coding RNA from Daucus carota subsp. sativus, 2148 nucleotides. RefSeq lists it as uncharacterized. The record is from RefSeq and is a predicted model, not a curated record. The transcript is spliced from 6 exons. NCBI's taxonomy places the organism in Eukaryota, Viridiplantae, Streptophyta, Magnoliopsida, Apiales, Apiaceae.
AGAAAAAGGUUGCAAGAGAGUGUACACUUUGGUCAACUUGACCGAAUUAAUCAAGCGGGGGUUUUGAUUUUUCACUGAGCGGGUGGUUUUUAGUACCAAAUUGUUUCUAACAGCAAAACUCCCUCAUUUCUUUCAUUUCAUCAUUUCAAUCGUCUCUCUCCCAAGUAUCUCUAUUAUUUCUCCAUCUCUCUCUCAUAUCUCUUGUUUCGUUUAUCUAUCUCAAGCAUCCUGUAUCGAACCCACUGCACUCCACUCCAUUGCUCACACUCCCUUCCAUUGGUUACUAUCUACUUCACUUGAUUGAAUUACUCUGGUUAGGGAUCUCUGUAUCUUUCUGAAAUUGGAGAGAGGCAGAUGCCAACAACAGUGAAAGCUCCACAGAUUCAAUCCUGGUACUAUUGCUCUUUGUGUGAUUCCUAAAUUCCAGAAGACUUGGAACCUUCUCAUUCCUGCCAUUCUGUUUAUCCGCACAUUAAAUUAGCUCUACUUUUUGUUUAAAUUUCUGUUUAUUUCUGUAUUUGAUUUGGUAUUCGGAUAUAAUUGUUAGUAGUAUUUGACUAUGAAAGUGUGAAUGGAUAGUAAUUAAAGUUUAAAUGAUGUGGUAAAUCUUUCUGUUUACUAUUUUAUAUAUUUAAUGCUUUGUGUGCGUAGUAUUGGAUUCAUGUGGAAAGGUUUGGAUCUUAUUAUAUUAGGUUUGUGUGGCAAUGUGGUAAGGAUUUUAGCAGAAGUAUGGUUAAGUUGCUCAGUGCCACUUUGUCAUGGUUGUUUACUGUAGUUAGCGAGCUAGAGGUCGGCCAAUCUACAUAUCUUUUGCAAAACCAAGUGGUUAUUAUAGGAGCUAAUGUAGACCAUCAGCAUCAGGAAAGAACUGCAAUCGAUAUUAACUUGGUCUGGUUACUACUUCAUCUGUUAAUAAGAGAUCUGGUAUGCCUUUUAGUCCCAUUCCUGAAAAAUUAACAUAUGUAUUGCUGUUUUAGUAACAAUGGUACUGCCUCUUAUGAUUUUAGUAUUAUAAAAAAAUUAUUGGCCACUAUUUAUCUGAAAUUAGUUAAGACUUUGAUGUAGAUGAAUUCACUGACCACAAGUCUUUUCUUUAUUUAUUUGCAGAGGUAAUCAGCUGCCGCUUACUUUCUUUCUACUAUAUAUGUAGAUUUUUUCUACAUGGCCUAAUCGGAUAAGAUGGCAGUGAUCAUCAACAUAUCAUUUGUUUAGUCAUUUCAAAUUUAUAAUUUGCAUAGUUUUGAGAAAUUCAUGAGAAGAUUUCUGCAACAGAAUUUGUCUGCUACAGAUAUGUGAUUAUGUAGUAUGUUGUGAAGAGAAAGGCUGUGGGCAUCUGGGGAUGCAAAGAUUGUGGCAAAUUCAAAGCAUGCGGUGCUUAUACCUUAAACACUGCUGUUGCAGUGACAGUUAGGAGCACUAUCAGUUUUAUAUGUUGAGAUAUCUUGGUCUGGUGUUGGAAUCCAGUUGAACAUAUGUGACCUGGAGCUUCCCGGUCGAUUAUUGUGUAUAAAAAUUUAGAAUUGGGUCAAACACUCAAGGGAUGAAAUAAAUCUCAUCGUCAUGGUGUUUAGAGGAUAGGUCCGACUUCCUCCAUGACACAGGGACAUCAAUAUUUCUUGCAAGUGAGGGCAGCAGAGAGUAGUAGGACGCUAGUGCAGUAGCUUGUCUGGUUAAAACAGGCUUCCGUCACAAUAAUACUUUUAUAUGGAAUUGCAAACUGCCCUUGCUAUCCUAGACGAGGACAACUGCUUAGAAGUGCACAGUUCAAGUCAGUGCCCUGAAUAUGCUCACAAAACGAUAGCAGUUUGUCUUGGUAUUACUGAAACUAGUGUUCGUGUCAAAGAAUUUUUAUCGACGUAUAGGUAACAACACAUUUCAUCACUUGGCAUACAAACAACAUCAAAUGUGGUUGAAGAUGGUGUUUCUGCGGUAAAAAAACAGUGCAGAAAGCAAGAAGACACAAAAAUGAAAAUCUAGUCGUCCAUGAACCAACAAGAUUUGGUUGUGUAUUUUGACUUUUGAUGAUUGUAUGAUAUAUAAGUUUUUGUCUUUAAAGUUGAUCUUGGUGGGAUGUUUUGACUUGUUCUUUAGUAUUUUAACUUUUACUAAUUGAUUGUGGGAAUAGAAGGGUUUGUAAUACAUAUAAAA